This 74-nucleotide transfer RNA is filed under the name Lactobacillus selangorensis. RNAcentral's name for it is "Paralactobacillus selangorensis tRNA". It matches the Rfam family "tRNA". Rfam says of the family: Transfer RNA (tRNA) molecules are approximately 80 nucleotides in length. Their secondary structure includes four short double-helical elements and three loops (D, anti-codon, and T loops). Lineage: Bacteria; Bacillati; Bacillota; Bacilli; Lactobacillales; Lactobacillaceae. The record is from Rfam by way of RNAcentral.
GGUUCUAUGGUGUAGUUGGUUAUCACGCCUGCCUGUCACGCAGGAGAUCACCGGUUCAAGUCCGGUUAGAACCG